CAAUAGCGUAUAUUAAAGUCGUUGCAGUUAAAAAGCUCGUAGUUGGAUUUCUGGUGGGAGCGAUCGGUCUGGCGCUUAGCGCGAGUACUUGCAUCGUCUCCGGCCAUCCUUGGGGAGAGUCUGUCUGGCAUUAGGUUGUCGGGCAGAGGAUCCUCAUCGUUUACUGUGAAAAAAUUAGAGUGUUCGGAGCAGGCUUAUGCCGUUGAAUAUAUUAGCAUGGAAUAAUAAGAUAGGACUUUGGUACUAUUUUGUUGGUUUGCGCACCAAAGUAAUGAUUAAUAGGGACAGUUGGGGGUAUUCGUAUUCCGUUGUCAGAGGUGAAAUUCUUGGAUUUACGGAAGACGAACUACUGCGAAAGCAUUUACCAAGGAUGUUUUCAUUAA
RNAcentral lists this ribosomal RNA (383 nucleotides) under uncultured eukaryote. RNAcentral's name for it is "partial 18S ribosomal RNA". It matches the Rfam family "Eukaryotic small subunit ribosomal RNA", at positions 592 to 976 of the family's 1831-position model. The record is from RNAcentral.